RNAcentral lists this transfer RNA (77 nucleotides) under Bacteroidota bacterium. RNAcentral describes it as "Bacteroidetes bacterium (aquatic metagenome) tRNA-Pro". It matches the Rfam family "tRNA". Rfam says of the family: Transfer RNA (tRNA) molecules are approximately 80 nucleotides in length. Their secondary structure includes four short double-helical elements and three loops (D, anti-codon, and T loops). Further hydrogen bonds mediate the characteristic L-shaped molecular structure. tRNAs have two regions of fundamental functional importance: the anti-codon, which is responsible for specific mRNA codon recognition, and the 3' end, to which the tRNAs corresponding amino acid is attached (by aminoacyl-tRNA synthetases). tRNAs cope with the degeneracy of the genetic code in two manners: having more than one tRNA (with a specific anti-codon) for a particular amino acid; and 'wobble' base-pairing, i.e. permitting non-standard base-pairing at the 3rd anti-codon position. Lineage: Bacteria; Pseudomonadati; Bacteroidota. The record is from RNAcentral.
CGGGGUGUGGCGCAGUUGGCUAGCGUACCAGCAUGGGGUGCUGGGGGUCGGAAGUUCGAGUCUUCUCACCCCGACUA